This 455-nucleotide ribosomal RNA is filed under the name uncultured bacterium. RNAcentral's name for it is "bacterial SSU rRNA". It matches the Rfam family "Bacterial small subunit ribosomal RNA", at positions 33 to 507 of the family's 1533-position model. The record is from RNAcentral.
ACGCUGGCGGCGUGCCUAACACAUGCAAGUCGAACGAGGUCCAUCCUUCGGGAGAAGACCUAGUGGCGAACGGGUGAGUAACACGUGAAGAACCUGCCCCGAAGACCGGGAUAACCCUCCGAAAGGAGAGCUAAUACCGGAUACCCCCACGAACCGCAUGGUUUGGUGAGGAAAUGGAUUCCGCUUCGGGAGGGCUUCGCGGCCUAUCAGCUAGUUGGUGGGGUAACGGCCCACCAAGGCAUCGACGGGUAGCUGGUCUGAGAGGACGAUCAGCCACACUGGGACUGAGACACGGCCCAGACUCCUACGGGAGGCAGCAGUGGGGAAUCUUGCGCAAUGGGCGAAAGCCUGACGCAGCAACGCCGCGUGGGGGAUGAAGGCUCUCGGGUUGUAAACCCCUUUCAGCAGGGACGAAUCAAGACGGUACCUGCAGAAGAAGCCCGGCUAACUACGUA